GACGAACGCUGGCGGCGUGCUUAACACAUGCAAGUCGAGCGAUGAAACACCUUCGGGUGCGGAUUAGCGGCGAACGGGUGAGGAACACGUGAGGAAUCUGCCUUCCACUCUGGGAUAACUCCGGGAAACCGGGGCUAAUACCGGAUACUUUCAACUGGCGGCAUCGCCGGUUGAAGAAAGUUUUUCGGUGGAAGAUGACCUCGCGGCCUAUCAGCUUGUUGGUGAGGUAAAGGCUCACCAAGGCGACGACGGGUAGCCGGCCUGAGAGGGCGACCGGCCACACUGGGACUGAGACACGGCCCAGACUCCUACGGGAGGCAGCAGUGGGGAAUAUUGGGCAAUGGAGGAAACUCUGACCCAGCGACGCCGCGUAAGGGAUGAAGGCCUUCGGGUUGUAAACCUCUUUCAGCAGGGAAUAAGCGAAAGUGAAGGUACCUGCAGAAGAAGCACCGGCUAACUAUGUGCCAGCCGCCGCGGUAA
Molecule: ribosomal RNA, 480 nt
Filed under: uncultured bacterium
Lineage: Bacteria
Description: partial 16S ribosomal RNA
Rfam family: Bacterial small subunit ribosomal RNA
Source: RNAcentral